RNAcentral lists this ribosomal RNA (274 nucleotides) under uncultured bacterium. RNAcentral's name for it is "partial 16S ribosomal RNA". It matches the Rfam family "Bacterial small subunit ribosomal RNA", at positions 523 to 796 of the family's 1533-position model. The record is from RNAcentral.
AGACGGGGGGGGCGAGCGUUGUUCGGAAUUACUGGGCGUAAAGGGCGCGCAGGCGGCUUGGGAAGUCUUGGGUGAAAGCCCCCAGCUCAACUGGGGAAUGGCCUGAGAAACCACUAGGCUGGAGUGCUGGAGAGGGAAGCGGAAUUCCCGGUGGAGCGGUGAAAUGCGUAGAUAUCGGGAGGAACACCAGAGGCGAAGGCGGCUUCCUGGACAGACACUGACGCUGAGGCGCGAAAGCUAGGGGAGCAAACGGGAUUAGAAACCCCGGUAGUCC